UUACUCUUAACAUGUGCAAUG
This 21-nucleotide non-coding RNA is filed under the name Caenorhabditis elegans. Lineage: Eukaryota; Metazoa; Nematoda; Chromadorea; Rhabditida; Rhabditidae. The record is from RNAcentral.